GUCUGGAUAGCUCAGUUGGUUAGAGCUUGGGGUUGAUAACACCAAGGUUGCUGGUUUGAUCCCCACAUGGGACA
Non-coding RNA from Podarcis lilfordi (Lilford's wall lizard), 74 nucleotides. NCBI's taxonomy places the organism in Eukaryota, Metazoa, Chordata, Lepidosauria, Squamata, Lacertidae. The record is from the annotation of a GenBank genome assembly.